RNAcentral lists this ribosomal RNA (376 nucleotides) under uncultured bacterium. Its description in RNAcentral is "bacterial SSU rRNA". It matches the Rfam family "Bacterial small subunit ribosomal RNA", at positions 524 to 898 of the family's 1533-position model. The record is from RNAcentral.
UACGUAGGGGGCAAGCGUUGUCCGGAAUCAUUGGGCGUAAAGCGCGUGUAGGCGGCCAGGUAAGUCCGUUCUGAAAGCCCGGGGCUCAACCCCGGGAGGCGGAUGGAUACUGCUUGGCUCGAGUCCGGAAGAGGCGAGUGGAAUUCCCGGUGUAGCGGUGAAAUGCGCAGAUAUCGGGAGGAACACCAAUGGCGAAGGCAGCUCGCUGGGACGGUACUGACGCUGAGACGCGAAAGCGUGGGGAGCAAACAGGAUUAGAUACCCUGGUAGUCCACGCUGUAAACGAUGGUCACUAGGUGUGGGGGGUGUCGACUCCCUCCGUGCCGAAGCUAACGCAUUAAGUGACCCGCCUGGGGAGUACGGCCGCAAGGCUAAA